Molecule: long non-coding RNA, 846 nt
Organism: Eriocheir sinensis (Chinese mitten crab)
Lineage: Eukaryota; Metazoa; Arthropoda; Malacostraca; Decapoda; Varunidae
Exons: 4
Source: RefSeq, a predicted model, not a curated record
AUAAUUGCGUCACAAACCACAGGUUGCAGCUUCACGGGCAUGACGGACGGGGCAACCAGUUUUCUACGACUGUUAUUUUUCCUCUGGCGAGCUGAGAUAACUUGGAAACUACAAACCUUGCUGUGAUGCCCAUAACACCCACGAGCGUGCUACAUGCCUGGAGCACCGCUUCACGAGGAAGUAAAUCUUCAUUCCCGACGAGACGAGCGGCGAGGCGGCACCGCGGCUCCAGGCGGGGCGGCGGCUCCUCCGACACCCGCGUCAUGCCCUUCAGCUUCCAGCAGCAGACGAGCGGCUGAACAGACACUCCCCGGGAUGACUGAACGACAGCCAGGCUGGACUGAAUGAUCCAGCAGUUGCAGGUGUGGCCAGGUGUUGCAACCCUCCAAUAAGCACCUGUACCAAUCUGGAUAGAGAUGUGUAGUUCACAGUGUAAGGACAAUCCAGUUGUCUGUCAAACAUCUGGCACUGUUGCCCAAAAGAGCUGACAAACUCCGAGCCAAGUUUUUUUUUCUUUACACUCUGGCCUAUAGCGUUGGUAGGCUUUCUUCUGGGCCCUGGUGGUCGACCCAAACCCGUCAUGGCGCAGGCAAGUGUUUAUAGCAGCACCAUUUCUUCUUGGCUCAUGCUGCCCGCCGGAGCUCAUUCUUGAUUCACUUGGACAGUUCCUCUAGAGUUGGGGUUGAUAGGUGAUCUUCAGGACAGCACGUGGGUAGCCUUAUGUCACUUGGCAAUGACUGAAAAAUCCCAGGUGGUAGCAGAGAAUUUGAACCCACAUUGUCCAGAACUUGGUGAACGCAGGACCUGCACACUAACCAUUCAGCCACUGCCUCUCUGUUCCAACAU